UCUCCGUUGGUGAACCAGCGGAGGGAUCAUUACAGGACUCGCAAGACUCCUACAACCCUGUGAACUUAACUAUAAGCACGUUGCUUCGGCGGGUGUCUCGGAGGGGGUUCUCCCUCCCCGAGACGCUAAACCCGCCGGCAGCCUACUAUACUCUGUCUCUUUGCGUUGGCAUCUCGAGUACAAUCAAACAAGUUAAAACUUUCAACAACGGAUCUCUUGGCUCUG
This 225-nucleotide unclassified non-coding RNA is filed under the name plant metagenome. Its description in RNAcentral is "partial contains small subunit ribosomal RNA, internal transcribed spacer 1, and 5.8S ribosomal RNA". The record is from RNAcentral.